Molecule: long non-coding RNA, 1078 nt
Organism: Carassius auratus (goldfish)
Lineage: Eukaryota; Metazoa; Chordata; Actinopteri; Cypriniformes; Cyprinidae
Exons: 3
Source: RefSeq, a predicted model, not a curated record
UUUAUGAGUAUUGAUUUAACCAUGUAAACUACUCGGUGCAUGCGAUUAAAUUAUAUACAAUAUAACGUUACGUAUUUUCAUCAUUGAUAACGUUACUCUAUAAGACCACGUGCUUAUUUUAGAAUACUUAGUAAUGCCGUUGGCGUAUAAUGUGGUGUAUAAUAGUAUUGAGGUUGAGUUAAUCACAAUAAAUUAUGGUCGAUUGUUACAUAAGCAACUCAUAAUAAUAUUGGUGUAACCUUCCAGCUUUAAAAAGCUGUCUGAAACCGCCCACGUGUUAGGAGCAACCAGUCUUUAGUUUAACGCCAAAACGUUGCAGUGAAGUGCAAACAGCCCGAAAUCUGCAAUUCAAAUAUUAACAGUUUUAACAGAGUUGUCAUGCUUUACUGCUGUGGUUUAUUUUUAUUCUUGGAAACCGCAGAGCCAUAGGCAGUAAAAGAAAGGGUAGAGCUUACUUCGCAUUUGACGCAGUAGCGUGCUCAUGUCAGUAGGGGGCGCAAUAUGUUUGACACUCACUGCUGUCAAUCACAGUGGAAAGAUCUGGAACCACGUUGAACCCACUCCAGUGAGGGCUCUCAUUCACGGGUAAAAAAAGAAGAAAUAAAUAUAUAAUUAUGCUUUAAUUCCGCUACAGAUCCCCAAUGAAGAACCUUUUCUUCCUGUUUGGAACCCACCGUGAUAUUCUACCAUCAGACACAAGAAAUUGAUGAAAUGGAGCUGCACUUCACUUGGGUUGUGUCAAAGAGACUUAAAACAGUACAACUCUGAAAAGAGGUCAAAGGUCGACUCUACAGGAAGCUGGAGUAGAAUGUGACAAACCACCUGGAUUAAGUCCUGCUCCAACAUUUACACCUGCUGUGUGUUACAUGCCUGUGUCUGCAGUUGUCGAUCUCCACCUGCUUUUGGAACAGCUGAAUAAGAUCUGAUCAUCACCCACAUUAGUGCAUUACAUUGUAUUGUUUAAUAUAGAGCAACAAAAUGUACUUUUUUUUUUUUUUUAAUCAAUUUAUCUAUUUCUUUUAAAGGUCAUAUCAACUAUUCAUCAUCACAAAAUAAACCCUCUGGAGUUUUGUUGCCA